Molecule: unclassified non-coding RNA, 206 nt
Filed under: soil metagenome
Description: partial contains 5.8S ribosomal RNA, internal transcribed spacer 2, and large subunit ribosomal RNA
Source: RNAcentral
AACAUCGCGCACCUGCGGGAACCUGCGGAGGGAUCAUUACCGAGUUUACAACUCCCAAACCCCUGUGAACAUACCUAUACGUUGCCUCGGCGGAUCAGCCCGCGCCCUGUAAAACGGGACGGCCCGCCCGAGGACCCUAAACUCUGUUUUUAGUGGAACUUCUGAGUAAAACAAACAAAUAAAUCAAAACUUUUAGCAACGGAUCU